CUUAGGUUCUGUUUCAUACUCUCAUUCGUUCUUUGCAUAUUUAACUCAUUUCUUAUAUUCAUUUCUUUUGAUUAGAACUGUUAAUUGUUUUUUCUGCAUUAGAUUGAUGUAGAAGUAGUCCUAACAUUAAGUUUUUGCAUCUGAGUUCAGUUCUGGCUGAAUUAAGUUGUUUUUCAAAUGUUUGGACUGCUGAAACUGAUGUUUAAAGUUGAGAAAUAUGAUUGUUCAGUUCUGAUUGAGGAAAUGGNUGAAAAAUGAUUGAAUUGGCAGGAUAGGUUGAGUUUUGAAUAAGUCUAGUGUUCCUAGUUUGUGUUUAGUCUUUUAAUUGUUUCUGAGUUUUGUUUUGAGUCUUUCAUUUUGUAGUUUGAGUCUUUGUUUUCAUUUUAGUUAUCCCUGUCCAGGAUGACAGUUUCUUUGUAAAUAGUCAUUCUUAAUUAUGAUUUGUAAACGUUUAUUUGUUUUGCUGAUUUUCGGAUUCAUGAAGUUUGUUCUAGGAUUGCUUAGGUUCUUUUCUUUCCAUUUUUUUUGUAAAUACAGCUCAUACUAGUUUUCUUCUAUGUUUUGCUUUUCUACNUUUAAUUUUCUGCUUUAAUUCCUUAGACCAUUCUUUGUUCAUUGCUUCUGUAAAUANGAAUUGUUUUAGGUUCUUUCCUUUCUAGGUUCUGUUUUAAGCUGCCAUUAGGAAAUUUUUUUCCUUUCGUCGUUCCUGUUUCUAUUAUUAGGAUUUGAUAGGUUCAUAGUUUCUUCUUUUCUUAUCUUCCUUUUUCCUUUUGUUGUUUUGUUUAGUAUAACUUUGGUUUAAGAGUUGUUUUAGGUUCUUUUAUCCAGUCUUAGAUUGUAUAGGUUGUAUAUAGUGUAGGAGAUGAUGUUAGGCAUUUCUAGGUUCAUCUUAGGUUCUAUUUCAUACUCUCAUUCUUUCUUUGCUUAUUUAACUCAUUUCUUAGUUUCAUUUCUUUUGAUUUGAAUGGUUAAUUGUGUUUUUCGCUUUAGAUUGAUGUAGAAGUAGUCCUAGCAUUAAGUUUUUGCAUCUGAGUUCAGUCCUGGUUGAAUGAAGUUGUUUUUCAAAUGUUUGGACUACUGAAACUGAUGUUUAAAGUUGAGAAAUAUGAUUGUUCAGUUCUGAUUGAGGAAAUGGCUNAAAAAUGAUUGAAUUGGCAUGAUAGGUUGAGUUGUGAAUAAGUCUAGUGUUCCUAGUUUGUGUUUAGACUUUUAAUUCUUUCCGAGUUUUGUUUUGAGUCUUUCAUUUUGUAGUUUGANUCUUUGUUUUCAUUUUAGNUAUCCCUGUNCAGGAUGACAGUUUCUUUGUAAAUAGUCAUUCUUAAUUAUGAUUUGUAAACGCUUAUUUCUUUUGCUGAUUUUCGGAUUCAUUAAGUUUUUUCUAGGAUUGGUUAGGUUCUUUUCUUUCCAUUGUUUUUGUAAAUACAACUUGUACUAGUUUUCUUAUAUUUUUUGCUUUUCUACCUUCAAAUUUUUGCUUUAAUUCCUUAGACCAUUCUUUGUUCAUUGCUUCUGUAAAUAGGAAUUGCUUUAGGUUCUUUCCUUUCUAGGUUCUGUGUUAAGCUGCCAUUAGAAAUUUUUUUUUUGCUUUCAUCGUUCCUGUUUCUAUUAUUAGGAUUUGAUAGGUUCAUAGUUUCUUCUUUUCUUAUUUUCCCUUUUCCUUUUGUUGUUUUCUUUUGUAUAACUUUGGUUUAAGAGUUGUUUUAGGUUCUUUUAUCCAGUCUUAGAUUGUAUAUGUUGUAUAUAGUGUAGGAGAUGAUGUUAGGCAUUUCUAGGUUCAUCUUAGGUUCUGUUUCAUACUCUCAUUCAUUCUUUUCUUAUUUAACUCAUUUCGUUGUUUCAUUUCUUUUGAUUUGAACGGUUAAUUGUGUUUUUUUCUUUAGAUUGAUGUAGAAGUAGUCCUAGCAUUAAGUUUUUGCAUCUGAGUUCAGUCCUGGCUGAAUUAAGUUGUUUUUCAAAUGCUUGGACUGCUUAAACUGAUGUUUAAAGUUUAGAAAUAUGAUUGUUCAGUUCUGAUUGAGAAAAUGGUUGGAAAAUGAUUGAAUUGGCACGAUAGGUUGAGUUGUGAAUAAAUCUAGUGUUCCUAGUUUCUGUUUAGUCCUUUAAUUGUUUCUGAGUUUUGUUUUGGGUCUAUCAUUUUGUAUUUUAUUUUAGUUUUCCUGUCUAGGAGGGCAGUUGCUUUGUAAAUAGUCAUUCUUAAUUUUGAUUUGUAAACGAUUAUUACUUUUGCUGUCUUUAGGAUUCGUUAAGUUUCAAGGAUUGCUUAGAUUCUUUUCUUUUCAUUGUUUUUGUUUUUUUAAAUAGAACUCGUACUAGUUUUCUUUUUCUAUUUUUUGGUUCUUCUUGUUUGAAUUUUCUGUUUUGAUUCCUUAGAACAAUCAUUGUUCAUUGCUUCGGUAAAUAGGAAAUGCUUUAGGUUUUUCCUUUCUAGGUUCUAUUUUAAGCUGUCAUUAGGAAUUGUUUUAGUUUUCAUCGUUCCUGAUUUUAUUACUAGGAUUUGCAAAGGUUCAUAGUUACUUCGUUUCUUAUCUUCUUCUCUUUUUCUUUUGUUGUUUUCUUUCGUAGAACUUUGUUUUAAGGGUUGUUUUAGGUUCUUUUAUCGAGUCUUAGCUUGUAUAGGUUGCAUAUAAUUUAGGAGAUGAUGUUAGACAUUUCUAGGUUCAUCUUAGGUUCUGUUUCAUACUCUCAUUCAUUCUUUGCUUAUUUAACUCAUUUCUUAGUUUCAUUUCUUGUAAUUAGAACUGUUAAUUGUGUUUUCUGCUUUAGAUUCAUGUAGAAGUAGUCCUAGGAUUAAGUUUUUGCAUCUGAGUUCUGCCCUGGCUGAAUUAAGUUGUUUUUCAAAUGCUUGGACUGCUGAAACUGAUGUUUAAAGUUGAGAAAUGUGAUUGUUCAGUUCUGAUUGGGGAAAUGGCUUGAAAAUGAUUGAAUUGGCACGAUAGGUUGAGUUUUUAAUAAGUCUAGUGUUUCCUAGUUUGUGUUUAGUCUUUUAAUUGUUUCUGAGUUUUGUUGUGGGUCUUUCAUUUUGUAGUUUGAGUCUUUGUUUUCAUUUUAGUUUUCUCUGUCCAGGAUGACAAUUUUUUUGUAAAUAGUCAUUCUUAAUUUUGAUUUGUAAACACUAUUUCUUUUGCUAUUUUCGGAUUCAUUAGGUUUUUUCUAGGAUUGCUUAGGUUCUUUUCUUUCCAUUGUUUUUGUAAAUACAGCUCGUACUAGUGUUCUUCUUCUAAUUUUAUUUUUUCUACCUUUAAUUUUCUGCUUUAAUUCCUUAGACCAUUCUUUGUUCAUUGCUUCUGUAAAUAGGAAUUGCUUUAGGUUGUUUCCUUUCU
This 3320-nucleotide long non-coding RNA is filed under the name Vigna radiata. RNAcentral describes it as "long non-coding RNA (VRAD_LNC003944)". Lineage: Eukaryota; Viridiplantae; Streptophyta; Magnoliopsida; Fabales; Fabaceae. The record is from RNAcentral.